ACCUACGGGAGGCAGCAGUGAGGAAUAUUGGUCAAUGGGCGGAAGCCUGAACCAGCCAAGUCGCGUGAGGGAAUAAGGCCCUACGGGUCGUAAACUUCUUUUGCCGGGGGACAAACGGCGGCACGCGUGCCGUCCUGAGGGUACCCGGAGAAAAAGCAUCGGCUAACUCCGUGCCAGCAGCCGCGGUAAUACGGAGGAUGCGAGCGUUAUCCGGAUUUAUUGGGUUUAAAGGGUGCGUAGGCGGGAUGCCAAGUCAGCGGUCAAAUACGGGGGCUCAACCUGCGUCCGCCGUUGAAACCGGCGUU
Molecule: ribosomal RNA, 305 nt
Filed under: uncultured bacterium
Lineage: Bacteria
Description: bacterial SSU rRNA
Rfam family: Bacterial small subunit ribosomal RNA
Source: RNAcentral